This 548-nucleotide long non-coding RNA is filed under the name Setaria italica (foxtail millet). Its description in RNAcentral is "long non-coding RNA (SITA_LNC000967)". The record is from RNAcentral. Lineage: Eukaryota; Viridiplantae; Streptophyta; Magnoliopsida; Poales; Poaceae.
CCAUAUAUAAGCUCAUGCGAAAGAUCUGAGACUAUGAAUUUGUACUGGCUCUUCAGCUCAACAAAAUAAUUUUGUUUGACUUAACGGUUGCAAAUGCAAAAGAUACCAGAGUCGGUAUCGUGGACGGUUCGUUCUUUUGGCCAGCAUCCAGGACCGUACCUGGCCAAGAUAAAAGCAAAAAUACUAGCUAGCGCCGCUAAUUCCCCAGCUCACGCUGGCACAUCGGCCUGCUGUGGCACACUAUAUUCACCGGCAGUCUCGCCAACUGGCGACGUCGAACGACGAUGAAACCAUGUAGUGGGAUGUGGUACAGGAAUGCUGUGUAUCAGCUGCCUGAGGUGCAAGCUAUGCAGCAGGUGUCCAACUCGGGCUGUAAAGCUUGCUUGAUGGUUCAGUCUUUCUUAUUUUCAGUUGGUUUGAGUUUCCAAUGUGUCCCAUACCCAAGCCUCACCCUCAGUCACCAUUCAACCGCGGCACCGUAACUGUCCUUGACCAUGGCUCUCCUCCGGCUUCAUUCUCGCCACUAUGCUAUAUAAAGGAGUUGAAAU